Molecule: ribosomal RNA, 738 nt
Filed under: Natrinema altunense
Lineage: Archaea; Methanobacteriati; Methanobacteriota; Halobacteria; Halobacteriales; Natrialbaceae
Description: bacterial SSU rRNA
Rfam family: Archaeal small subunit ribosomal RNA
Source: RNAcentral
UAGUUGCACGAGUUCAGACUCGUAGCAGAUAGCUCAGUAACACGUGGCCAAACUACCCUAUGGAUCCGAAUAACCUCGGGAAACUGAGGCUAAUAUGGAAUAGCGUUCAUCGCCUGGAGUGGCACGAACGCGAAACGUUACGGCGCCAUAGGAUGUGGCUGCGGCCGAUUAGGUAGACGGUGGGGUAACGGCCCACCGUGCCCAUAAUCGGUACGGGUUGUGAGAGCAAGAGCCCGGAGACGGUAUCUGAGACAAGAUACCGGGCCCUACGGGGCGCAGCAGGCGCGAAACCUUUACACUGCACGCGAGUGCGAUAAGGGCACUCCGAGUGCGAGGGCAUAUAGUCCUCGCUUUUCACGACCGUAAGGUGGUCGUAGAAUAAGUGCUGGGCAAGACCGGUGCCAGCCGCCGCGGUAAUACCGGCAGCACGAGUGAUGACCGCUAUUAUUGGGCCUAAAGCGUCCGUAGCUGGCCACGCAAGUCUAUCGGGAAAUCCGCGCGCUUAACGCGCGGGCGUCCGGUGGAAACUGCGUGGCUUGGGACCGGAAGACCAGAGGGGUACGUCCGGGGUAAGAGUGAAAUCCCGUAAUUCUGGACGGACCACCGGUGGCGAAAGCGCCUCUGGAAGACGGAUCCGACGGUGAGGGACGAAAGCUCGGGUCACGAACCGGAUUAGAUACCCGGGUAGUCCGAGCUGUAAACGAUGUCUGCCAAGUGUGGCACAGGCUACAGCCUGUG